Molecule: ribosomal RNA, 382 nt
Filed under: uncultured Lactobacillus sp.
Lineage: Bacteria; Bacillati; Bacillota; Bacilli; Lactobacillales; Lactobacillaceae
Description: bacterial SSU rRNA
Rfam family: Bacterial small subunit ribosomal RNA
Source: RNAcentral
AUAAAAGCUACUUUCGCAUGAAAGAGUUUAAAAGGCGGCGUAAAGCUGUCGCUAAAAGGGGAUGGGGACCUGCGAUGCAUUAGCUAGUGGUAAGGUAACAGGCUUACCAAGGCGAUGAUGCAUAGCCCGAGUUGAGAGACUGAUCGGGCCACAUUGGGACUGAGACACGGGCCCAAACUCCUACGGGAGGCAGCAGUAGGGGAAUCUUCCACAAUGGACGAAAGUCUGAUGGAGCAAACGCCGCGUGAGUGAAGAAGGUUUUCGGAUCGUAAAAAGCUCUGUUGUUGGUGAAGAAGGAUAGAGGUAGUAACUGGCCCUUUAUUUGACGGUAAUCAACCCAGAAAGUCACGGGCUAACUACGUGCCCAGCAGCCGCGGUAAAU